Molecule: non-coding RNA, 93 nt
Organism: Mycena vitilis
Lineage: Eukaryota; Fungi; Basidiomycota; Agaricomycetes; Agaricales; Mycenaceae
Source: the annotation of a GenBank genome assembly
GCCCCCGUUGUCUAAUGGCUAUGACGUCAGACUUCUACCUAUCUAGGCUAGAUUCUGAUCUGGAGGUUGCGGGUUCGAGUCCCGCCGGGGGUU